UACGUAGGUCCCGAGCGUUAUCCGGAUUUAUUGGGCGUAAAGCGAGCGCAGGCGGUUAGAUAAGUCUGGAGUGAAAGGCUGUGGCUUAACCAUAGUAUGCUUUGGAAACUGUCAAACUUGAGUGCAGGAGGGGAGAGUGGAAUUCCAUGUGUAGCGGUGAAAUGCGUAGAUAUAUGGAGGAACACCGGUGGCGAAAGCGGCUCUCUGGUCUGUAACUGACGCUGAGGCUCGAAAGCGUGGGGAGCAAACAGG
Molecule: ribosomal RNA, 252 nt
Filed under: uncultured bacterium
Lineage: Bacteria
Description: partial 16S ribosomal RNA
Rfam family: Bacterial small subunit ribosomal RNA
Source: RNAcentral